RNAcentral lists this ribosomal RNA (497 nucleotides) under uncultured bacterium. RNAcentral's name for it is "partial 16S ribosomal RNA". It matches the Rfam family "Bacterial small subunit ribosomal RNA", at positions 28 to 507 of the family's 1533-position model. The record is from RNAcentral.
GAUGAACGCUGGCGGCGUGCCUAAUACAUGCAAGUCGAGCGAACAGACGAGGAGCUUGCUCCUUUGACGUUAGCGGCGGACGGGUGAGUAACACGUGGAUAACCUACCUAUAAGACUGGGAUAACUUCGGGAAACCGGAGCUAAUACCGGAUAAUAUAUUGAACCGCAUGGUUCAAUAGUGAAAGACGGCUUUGCUGUCACUUAUAGAUGGAUCCGCGCCGCAUUAGCUAGUUGGUAAGGUAACGGCUUACCAAGGCAACGAUGCGUAGCCGACCUGAGAGGGUGGUCGGCCACACUGGAACUGAGACACGGUCCAGACUCCUACGGGAGGCAGCAGUAGGGAAUCUUCCGGAAUGGGGGAAAGCCUUACGGAGCAACGCCGCGGGAGUGAUGAAGGUCUUCGGAUCGUAAAACUCUGUUAUUAGGGAAAAACAAAUGUGUAAGUAACUAUUCACGUCUUGACGGUACCUAAUCAGAAAGCCACGGCUAACUACGUG